ACUACGGGAGGAGGGGGGUAUUUGAGACUGAUUUUGUGGUAUUUUUCGACCGAAAAGUGCUAAUCUUUUUUGCUCACGGCAUUCUUUGGAAUGUGUAGAUUGUGGAACAAGUGCUGAAAUAUGCUUAUCUAUUGUAAUUUGGCUAUGUUAGCCUUAGACAUGUUGCACUGUUGACGCUGAUGAAGAAUAGGCGGCACCAAAGGUGGCUGGAACAACCCCAGUGCCGCACAGUUCUGCGGGAUAUUCCGGCACCUGCUCCACCGCUGCGGCGUCCGGCCCGGCAGCACAGGGAAAGUGGCAGCCCUCGACCCGACCAGCAUCCUGGCAGUCGGUCACACGACCAGCGGACGGGGACCCAGCCUUACUACCUCGGCCUCCACCACCUCAGACAACGGUGUCACGGCACUCCACAUCAUCACGGAGCACGACUUCCAGCCUGGGCUGUCGUCUGGUGGGCAACAUCGCCACCUACAUCGCAGGGUUCGUGGUGAAGAAGGCGCUCGACUCUGUCAGCUGUAGCACCUGUCAGGAGGCCCUGGUGAGCGACAUCCAGCCGGACGACAUGACACAGCUUUACCACCUCUUCAUCAUCUCUGCCAGAUGAGCUAAGGUGGGGACGGGUUACAUGCCUGGGAUCUGACUGAGACCCGCUCAUACCCUGCCGAAGUGUUGGUGAUUUCAGCGGUCGGCUGUCUCUAGCCGGUGUCAGUGAGUCGCGGCCAGCUGCCGCUGGAGUGGGUAUCUACCGUCGAUAGCUGCUGUGUGGCGGAUAGCGUGGAUUUGGAUGGACACUUCAUAUUAAUGAACAGAUCAAUGUCUGGCCGAUAAAAGACGUAUUUUGUCGAUGAUUGCUUAGUGACUGAGUGGGUCCACUGGCGACCAAUGCAGUGGGCGCUGGGUUAACGCCUCGCCUCUUGUGACCGUGUCGAUAUGUAGCACUGUUAAUUGCCGAUUCGUUGCCGGCCGUCUCUGCUCCGUGGCUGGCUGAUCCGGCACAAACUGGUGUUCGUGGCUGAAGGCGCGGCUACAGUUACACUAGCUCGCCACGUGCCUGUGCGACUAUCGUCGGUGCUGUCUGCAAGGGCGAUGUCGGUGCCUGUAGGGGGCGCGGAUUGAUUCAAAGUGAGGAAUGGGUCAUCGGAGCUCGGGUCAGGUCAUGUUCGGCUAAAAUAAGCGGAUUUUGCGAUUUGCCGCAUCCGGGUGAAUUUCCUUGCCUUCUAGUGCAUGUUUAUGCAUUUUACAUGCGUUUUUUUAGUGUUGAUGUCUAGAUAACGUGCAUUUGCCUCGAGGUCAAGGCUGCGUUUCAUAUGGGCAGUUUUCGGAGCAUCUUGCUUAUUUUAUUCGUAAUCCUUAAUUAUGUUUGCGGAUUUGUGCCCGCAAAUCAUUUUUUAAAGUAAGAUUGACACGGGAUUCGAGAUCGGCGCCCAUAAAUACACUUCACAUGACC
This is an RNA transcript of Amphibalanus amphitrite, 1447 nucleotides long. RefSeq lists it as uncharacterized. NCBI's taxonomy places the organism in Eukaryota, Metazoa, Arthropoda, Thecostraca, Balanomorpha, Balanidae. The transcript is spliced from 2 exons. The record is from RefSeq and is a predicted model, not a curated record.